UGAGUGAAAUAUUGGUCAUUGCGCUCACGCGAGAACCAGCCAAGUCGCGUGAGGGAAGACGGUCCUACGGAUGGUAAACCUCUUUUGUCGGGGAGUAACGUGCGGGACGCGUCCCGUAUGGAGAGUACCCGAAGAAAAGCAUCGGCUAACUCCGUG
Molecule: ribosomal RNA, 156 nt
Filed under: uncultured bacterium
Lineage: Bacteria
Description: partial 16S ribosomal RNA
Rfam family: Bacterial small subunit ribosomal RNA
Source: RNAcentral